AUUGAACGCUGGCGGCAGGCCUAACACAUGCAAGUCGAACGGUAACAGGAAGCAGCUUGCUGCUUCGCUGACGAGUGGCGGACGGGUGAGUAAUGUCUGGGAAGCUGCCUGAUGGAGGGGGAUAACUACUGGAAACGGUAGUUAAUACCGCAUAAUGUCGCAAGACCAAAGAGGGGGACCUUCGGGCCUCUUGCCAUCGGAUGUGCCCAGAUGGGAUUAGCUUGUUGGUGGGGUAACGGCUCACCAAGCUGACGAUCCCUAGCUGGUCUGAGAGGAUGACCAGCCACACUGGAACUGAGACACGGUCCAGACUCCUACGGGAGGCAGCAGUGGGGAAUAUUGCACAAUGGGCGCAAGCCUGAUGCAGCCAUGCC
This 374-nucleotide ribosomal RNA is filed under the name Escherichia coli. Its description in RNAcentral is "bacterial SSU rRNA". It matches the Rfam family "Bacterial small subunit ribosomal RNA", at positions 30 to 398 of the family's 1533-position model. Lineage: Bacteria; Pseudomonadati; Pseudomonadota; Gammaproteobacteria; Enterobacterales; Enterobacteriaceae. The record is from RNAcentral.